This is a long non-coding RNA of Hordeum vulgare subsp. vulgare (domesticated barley), 671 nucleotides long. RefSeq lists it as uncharacterized. The record is from RefSeq and is a predicted model, not a curated record. NCBI's taxonomy places the organism in Eukaryota, Viridiplantae, Streptophyta, Magnoliopsida, Poales, Poaceae. The transcript has 3 exons.
GGUGAGUGCUGGUGGAUGCUUUUUAUUAGUGGCUACCCUGCUUUGGAUGUGCAUCAGAGAAGACCUAUUUCUUGGAUGUACAUGGCUCUGAUUAAUCAAAUUAAUUUGCCUGCGACUGAUUCUAGCUUCUAAGAGUAGGCAUUUCUGCUGAAAUAUAAACCUUUUACUGUAUGUUACUAAUGUUGUGCGGCGACUGAUUCUAGCUUCUAAGAGAAGACCCAUUUCUUGGAUAUAUUUAUUGCUUUUCUGAUGUUGUGCGGCAAGCUGAAAAUAGAGGGGUCCAUCAAGUGUUGGAGAAUGCUCAAUGUGCUCACAAAUAACCGUGACCUAUGCAGUCAGUCAAACUAGGAGAAUUUUGGGCAUAUGUUCUCUUUUUGACAAGUUUUCAAGUAGAGAUGAAGAGAGGGUUAGAAGAUACAAACUCAGCGAUAUGCAUUUCUUGCAUAUAUAGGUGAAACUCAUGGGUGUUUCCAUGGACAAGGCAAAAGGAUCGACCCUGUUCUUCUCAUCUUAUGAGUCUCCAUCAAUAUCAUGCGUACUUAUUUGUCUUGCCCACAGCACAAAACAAAAAAGGCUUUUAUGUCGGCAAACCUGCAUCCAUCACUAAAUGCUUCAUAUUCGUCCAUUUGCCUCUCAGUCAUCCUGCUAAGAAGCUCUGUAAAAAGCAACGC